AGUCGAGCGGUAAGGCCCUUCGGGGUACACGAGCGGCGAACGGGUGAGUAACACGUGGGUGACCUGCCCCCUACUCUGGGAUAAGCCUGGGAAACUGGGUCUAAUACCGGAUAUGACUACAUGUCGCAUGGUGUGUGGUGGAAAGUUUUUCGGUGGGGGAUGGGCCCGCGGCCUAUCAGCUUGUUGGUGGGGUGAUGGCCUACCAAGGCGACGACGGGUAGCCGGCCUGAGAGGGCGACCGGCCACACUGGGACUGAGACACGGCCCAGACUCCUACGGGAGGCAGCAGUGGGGAAUAUUGCGCAAUGGGCGGAAGCCUGACGCAGCGACGCCGCGUGGGGGAUGACGGCCUUCGGGUUGUAAACCUCUUUCGGCCCCGACGAAGCGUGAGUGACGGUAGGGGUAGAAGAAGCACCGGCCAACUACGUGCCAGCAGCCGCGGUAAUACGUAGGGUGCGAGCGUUGUCCGGAAUUAUUGGGCGUAAAGAGCUCGUAGGCGGUCUGUCGCGUCGGUCGUGAAAACUUGGGGCUUAACCCUGAGCUUGCGGUCGAUACGGGCAUGACUGGAGUUCGGCAGGGGAGACUGGAAUUCCUGGUGUAGCGGUGAAAUGCGCAGAUAUCAGAGAACACCGGGUGGCGAACGCGGGUCUCUGGGCCGAUACUGACGCUGAGGAGCGAAAGCGUGGGGAGCGAACAGGAUUAGAUACCCUGGUAGUCCACGCCGUAAACGGUGGGCGCUAGGUGGUGGGGGGCCAUUCCACGGUCUCUGU
RNAcentral lists this ribosomal RNA (770 nucleotides) under uncultured bacterium. RNAcentral's name for it is "bacterial SSU rRNA". It matches the Rfam family "Bacterial small subunit ribosomal RNA", at positions 60 to 852 of the family's 1533-position model. The record is from RNAcentral.